ACGAGGCCUAAAGUAAAAAAUUCGCACCAAAAUUUCCAACUUAAACUAUUCCCUAUGAAAUUUCCCACUUUCCCUCUAAAACAUUUCACUAAAAGUCUAAGUGAUUCCAGUUAACCCUAUUUCUCUAGGGUUUGAAACCCACAGCCUACUUCACUCAAUUUUCAAAAAAUAGUACAGUCCAUUGCACCCAUUCUUCGUCAAAAAAGGGAAAGAAGAAAAUGAUUGCACCCAAUCGGUUACGCUCUUCAAAAGCAGGAGAUCUGAUUUACUUUAUUUGAUUCCUCCAAAGAUCUAAGUUACACGGUCAAUUUGUCAAUACAACAAGAAAGGAAAAUUCUUGUGGUGCAAUUAAACGUGGUGGCCAAAGUCAGUUUGAUCCAUUUGAAGUUAAGGAAGAAGAUUUUUGGACAAAACAUUUGAUUUUGUAAAGUUCAUAUUUAGUACGCAACUUGAAGCAAUUUGCUUUAUUGGUUGAUUGUAUUACAUGAAGUGUAUUCCUUUGUUUGAAGUUCAUUGCAUGUAUUUGAAACAAUCUCUUUUGUUUAUUGAUAAUGAAGUGCUUCCGA
Long non-coding RNA from Nicotiana attenuata, 566 nucleotides. RefSeq lists it as uncharacterized. Lineage: Eukaryota; Viridiplantae; Streptophyta; Magnoliopsida; Solanales; Solanaceae. The record is from RefSeq and is a predicted model, not a curated record. The transcript is spliced from 2 exons.